AAUUACCUGGAAUGUGCGAUGAUCCUAUUAUUUUGAACCUACAUUUACUUUAAACGGGAGACUCAUAUUGUCCUGCCGAUGUCAAGCCGCCCUGGAAACAGAAGUCAGCGGAAGGCAGACGUUGUGACUGCGGUUACCCACCUAGCAUAGCGCUAGGAGUCAAAAGAUAGGAAACGGCAUCCCGGGGUUACA
Molecule: non-coding RNA, 192 nt
Filed under: Candidatus Fusicatenibacter merdavium
Lineage: Bacteria; Bacillati; Bacillota; Clostridia; Lachnospirales; Lachnospiraceae
Description: 6S RNA
Rfam family: 6S / SsrS RNA
About the family: E. coli 6S RNA was the first non coding RNA to be sequenced, but its function was unknown until recently. It consists of 184 nucleotides that fold into an extended hairpin structure with a large single-stranded internal bulge. The 6S RNA specifically associates with RNA polymerase holoenzyme containing the sigma70 specificity factor.
Source: RNAcentral